CAUUGCUUUAGAGAUUCAAAAUCAUCGUAGGCCGGCUUCAAAUCCAGAUAGUUUAGCUAGUUAGCCGUCCACUGAUGUACACGCCGACGCCCCGCUGGAUGAAUCCCUUGGAGGCCCAUCCACCGUCACCGGGGAUCGAGGUACAUCAGAUUGGGCAUCUGGUUCGUCGGAUGGGCUCUUUUAAUAGAGAUAGCAGUUCCUGGGGAUGGCGGAGGAGCAAAGCGAGUCGUCGGAUGGGCUCUCGCCGGCGGCCGGCGGAAUGGUAGAGCGAGCCGGAGGUGGGCGGCCGUCAGCACCGGAUGGGGCGGAGGGCCAGCUGAGGCGGAGCGAGCUGAGGGAGGUGAGGGCGAAGGCGGAGGCGAAGGCGGGCGGCUCGUCUCCCACAGCGGCGGCGGCGGUGCUCUGCCCGGGAUGAGCCGCCCGUGCUUGUUCUUUUUCCCGCGGUGCUGCUUUGCCUUGCGUGCGCGUGAGGAUGAAGGGAGGUAGGCAUUGACUGUUUUCUGACCCAACCUUUUCGCUGCUGUCCGUUGGAUGGCGAUUGAACGACAGAUAGGCUGCCUCAAGGCGCUCCGUGCCUUGGUUUUAGCGAGGCACCGGAUCUCUCUGGAAUUCCUGGUCCGGUGUGUGGUUGGGGACGAAGAAGUACUUGCUUGUGGACACGGGAACGGCGCAGGCUGGAUUUAAUAGUUAGCGGGCCAGGCCAAAAUGUGAAACACCAAAUUUUUACCAGCCGACAGGUGCAGGUGGUACGGUCCGAUCCAGUACCAGCAACCAGACAUUUCGUCAUCAAUCCUCGUACAGGCCCACAUGCACUAGGCGUAGACAGUGUGUAUUCACUGAAGAUUUAAGGCAGAAAAGCGCUAUCAGCUACAUUCCGUCUCCAAGUCACGAUGCCCCAUGUGUGCUGUGGAGUAUCAAGUUCAAGACUAGGAACCAUGAAGGCUUGUGUUGGAUGAUGAACGAGCUCAGGGAACUAUCUGCAGACAAGAUCUUGAGGACUCCGGACUCUCAAUUUGCUUCGUGUGUUCUGCUUCGCACCUUCUACCCCCGGCGGCUUGUUGGGUUGAGCCGUAUUACGUUUUUUUAGUAACUUGUGGUGUUAGUUUCUAAGUACUUGAUGUAAAUCUGUAACUCGUUGGCUAAACUGUAUGCCGCAGCAGUUGGCUAAACUGUAUACCGCAGCAGUUUAUACAGUUACAGUUUAUACUGUUAUGUGAACUUCACAA
This is a long non-coding RNA of Lolium perenne, 1226 nucleotides long. RefSeq lists it as uncharacterized. The record is from RefSeq and is a predicted model, not a curated record. NCBI's taxonomy places the organism in Eukaryota, Viridiplantae, Streptophyta, Magnoliopsida, Poales, Poaceae.